This 1091-nucleotide long non-coding RNA is filed under the name Fukomys damarensis (Damara mole-rat). Its description in RNAcentral is "lncRNA (ENSFDAG00000031282.1)". The record is from RNAcentral. Lineage: Eukaryota; Metazoa; Chordata; Mammalia; Rodentia; Bathyergidae.
GGAUGUUAAGCAUUCUCAGCACAGAAUUAUAACUAUGAGAGGUAGUGCAUUUUAGUGAGGUUUAACCAUUCUACGAUGGUUAUGUACUUUAAAACAGUAUAUUGUACCUGAUAACUAUGUGCAAUGGUAUUAAACUUUUAGAAGUAAUAAAUACAUUUGAAAAAAACAUAAAAAUUAAUAAAGAGAUAAAUUAUAGGGAUAUAGUAGAGAAUAAGAUAAGCAAAGUGCUCCUACAGGACUUCAAGGCUGGUAACCAAAUGCUGUACCACCUCAAGGACUGGAGAGUGCUCUGUGCAUAGUCUGCGGACAAGAAAUGCUUACUUUUGGGUCACAGAGCCCACACUCCUUUCAGUGAUUGCCCAGAGCAGAGAGAAUGUUGUCUGUACAUAUCCAUACCUUACUCCCCUGUUUCAUUCUGUUCUCCUGCUGUGAAAUAAAAAGGCGGAUGAAUAAAAGUCUUCUGGCAAAGUCCAAGCAGGUCAGCCUCCUGCACCACAAAGCAGAAUUGAUCUGGAGGACACAAGGAGUGUAUGCAGAAGCACCAUUUUGGGAUCAUGUUGGCUGAAGCAAAUAAUUGUAACAGCACUCAAGAAAUGAAUGAAUACCACAGGGAAGAGUUUCAAACCAUCCCUGCCCCUGACAACCUUUGCUGUCCUUUGAAAAAUAUGACAUCUUCGACACCAUUUUUGGAAUUAACAUGUUUUUGGAAUUCUGAACAUCAUUUCCUGGUGGGUAGAAAAGGAGAGGUGGCCUCAAAAAUGCUGGCUCUACCCACAGAAAUAUUUUCCAAAGAACUGUAGAAUCGAUCUGGAUCACACUGCAUAGCGAGUACAAGACAGGUGUCAGCAUCUCAGACCUACCUGAACCAUUGCAGCAACAUUGACAGAUGAGCGUACAGAAGAAUGUUCAGUUGAAGGUUGCUUCAGAAAGGAAAAGCACUAUGGGGAUUAAAAAAGUCAUAACUGAAUGAAACGAAAGGUAAUUUGAGUCAUCACAGUUUGAAAGAAAAAAAAAAUCUGAAUCCAGUUGAACCUGUCUAGCUUCUCUUUUGAAACAAAAAUUACAUCUUCAAAACAUUAUUAGUUUAUCAC